CACCAGCGCCACGAGUGGCCAUCGCGAUUAUUGGGCUUAAAGCGUCCGUAGUCUGUUCUAUGCAUCUUCUGUGAAAUCGCUGCGCUUAACGUAGCGGCAUGCGGAAGACACGGUAGAACUUGAGACCGGGAGGCGUCAGAGGUACUCCGGGGGGACCGGUAAAAUGGUAUAAUCCCCGGAAGACCACCUGUGGCGAAGGCGUCUGACGAGAACGGAUCUGACGAUGAGGGACGAAAGCCAGGGGAGCAAACCGG
This 254-nucleotide ribosomal RNA is filed under the name uncultured bacterium. Its description in RNAcentral is "partial 16S ribosomal RNA". It matches the Rfam family "Archaeal small subunit ribosomal RNA", at positions 474 to 727 of the family's 1478-position model. The record is from RNAcentral.